UUACCAGGUCUUGACAUCCUCUGAAAACCCUAGAGAUAGGGCUUCUCCUUCGGGAGCAGAGUGACAGGUGGUGCAUGGUUGUCGUCAGCUCGUGUCGUGAGAUGUUGGGUUAAGUCCCGCAACGAGCGCAACCCUUGAUCUUAGUUGCCAUCAUUAAGUUGGGCACUCUAAGGUGACUGCCGGUGACAAACCGGAGGAAGGUGGGGAUGACGUCAAAUCAUCAUGCCCCUUAUGACCUGGGCUACACACGUGCUACAAUGGACGGUACAAAGAGCUGCAAGACCGCGAGGUGGAGCUAAUCUCAUAAAACCGUUCUCAGUUCGGAUUGUAGGCUGCAACUCGCCUACAUGAAGCUGGAAUCGCUAGUAAUCGCGGAUCAGCAUGCCGCGGUGAAUACGUUCCCGGGCCUUGUACACACCGCCCGUCACACCACGAGAGUUUGUAACACCCGAAGUCGGUG
Molecule: ribosomal RNA, 460 nt
Filed under: Bacillus cereus
Lineage: Bacteria; Bacillati; Bacillota; Bacilli; Caryophanales; Bacillaceae
Description: bacterial SSU rRNA
Rfam family: Bacterial small subunit ribosomal RNA
Source: RNAcentral